GUAGCGGUGAAAUGCGUAGAGAUCUGGAGGAAUACCGAUGGCGAAGGCAGCUUCCUGGCAUCAUACUGACACUGAGGCUCGAAAGCGUGGGUAGCAAACAGGAUUAGAUACCCUGGUAGUCCACGCCGUAAACGAUGUCUACUAGUCGUUGGGGAACUUGAUUCCUUAGUGACGCAGCUAACGCAAUAAGUAGACCGCCUGGGGAGUACGGCCGCAAGGUUAAAACUCAAAUGAAUUGACGGGGGCCCGCACNAGCGGUGGAGCAUGUGGUUUAAUUCGAUGCAACGCGAAGAACCUUACCUGGUCUUGACAUAUCUAGAAUCCUGCAGAGAUGCGGGAGUGCCUUCGGGAAUUAGAAUACAGGUGCUGCAUGGCUGUCGUCAGCUCGUGUCGUGAGAUGUUGGGUUAAGUCCCGCAACGAGCGCAACCCUUGUCCUUAGUUACCAGCGGGUUAAGCCGGGAACUCUAAGGAUACUGCCAGUGACAAACUGGAGGAAGGCGGGGACGACGUCAAGUCAUCAUGGCCCUUACGACCAGGGCUACACACGUGCUACAAUGGUAGGUACAGAGGGCAGCUACACAGCGAUGUGAUGCGAAUCUCAAAAAGCCUAUCGUAGUCCAGAUUGGAGUCUGCAACUCGACUCCAUGAAGUAGGAAUCGCUAGUAAUCGCGGAUCAGAAUGCCGCGGUGAAUACGUUCCCGGGCCUUGUACACACCGCCCGUCACACCAUGGGAGUUGAUUGCACCAGAAGUGGUUAGCCGAACCUUUAGGACGGC
This 777-nucleotide ribosomal RNA is filed under the name Psychrobacter celer. RNAcentral's name for it is "bacterial SSU rRNA". It matches the Rfam family "Bacterial small subunit ribosomal RNA", at positions 675 to 1451 of the family's 1533-position model. Lineage: Bacteria; Pseudomonadati; Pseudomonadota; Gammaproteobacteria; Moraxellales; Moraxellaceae. The record is from RNAcentral.